This 465-nucleotide ribosomal RNA is filed under the name uncultured Klebsiella sp. RNAcentral's name for it is "bacterial SSU rRNA". It matches the Rfam family "Bacterial small subunit ribosomal RNA", at positions 338 to 795 of the family's 1533-position model. The record is from RNAcentral. Lineage: Bacteria; Pseudomonadati; Pseudomonadota; Gammaproteobacteria; Enterobacterales; Enterobacteriaceae.
CCUACGGGUGGCAGCAGUGGGGAAUAUUGCACAAUGGGCGCAAGCCUGAUGCAGCCAUGCCGCGUGUGUGAAGAAGGCCUUCGGGUUGUAAAGCACUUUCAGCGGGGAGGAAGGCGUUAAGGUUAAUAACCUCGGCGAUUGACGUUACCCGCAGAAGAAGCACCGGCUAACUCCGUGCCAGCAGCCGCGGUAAUACGGAGGGUGCAAGCGUUAAUCGGAAUUACUGGGCGUAAAGCGCACGCAGGCGGUCUGUCAAGUCGGAUGUGAAAUCCCCGGGCUCAACCUGGGAACUGCAUUCGAAACUGGCAGGCUAGAGUCUUGUAGAGGGGGGUAGAAUUCCAGGUGUAGCGGUGAAAUGCGUAGAGAUCUGGAGGAAUACCGGUGGCGAAGGCGGCCCCCUGGACAAAGACUGACGCUCAGGUGCGAAAGCGUGGGGAGCAAACAGGAUUAGAUACCCCAGUAGUC